This 994-nucleotide long non-coding RNA is filed under the name Macaca nemestrina (pig-tailed macaque). Its description in RNAcentral is "lncRNA (ENSMNEG00000045576.1)". The record is from RNAcentral. Lineage: Eukaryota; Metazoa; Chordata; Mammalia; Primates; Cercopithecidae.
CACUUCUAAAAAACCUGAACUGCCAUACUGAUUUUCCUCCUUUCAGCAUCAGCCCUCACAUCACUCUCUGGGGCCAGGGAAUUCUGGCACUCAUUGCCUUCUAACCCAAAGGGCCAUGUUGUCAUUAAGUCUAAGCAGAGGAUCAAGCUAAUUGCUGUUUGGGUGCUGUGGAAACUGGCUGUCCUGCAUUAUGUACCUUGAUCACUGGUGCUGUCCCAGUAAACUAAAUUAAUUUCAAUAAUGGUGCACUUGUCUUCUUGCAGGGCCAGGAACAGCAUGAAGAUCAGUGCAGCAUCAGUUAAGCAAUGACCAACACUAAACAGCAGAAUAGAGCGUCAUGCAGUAGCAAGCGGUUGCCUCACUUCAAAAAGGGAGCCAAACUCGGAGCAGAGCAGCCUGAGGAGCAUUCUCACUGAACAAACAUGUCUCCAGAACUGCAGUGCUCUGUAUCUCCAGGCUGACACUGCUAUCAGAAUGAAAACAUUUGGUGGAUUCUAGAUGAAGCAAGCUGCAUUAAAUAGUUGGUUUUUAACUUCCUUUAAAUAUUUGAACAAAAGAGCUGCUUUUAAUCACCAACCCCCAAACAACUCUCCACAACUUUCUGGUGAUAAACAGCAUCUGUAGAAAUAAAAAGGUUUGGAUGAACAACUGAGAGGAGAAGGUCGAAGUAAUACAUAGUGAAGCAACUGUUACCAUCGCGUGUAUGUAGAAUCAGCUUCUGCAAGGGAGCUGUCGUGGAGCAGCUGGCUGUGAAAUACGAGAAUCUGGGAGGACAAAUGAAUCUCUUCCCACUAACCCAAUACUGUGAGAAUAUCAACCACCAGCCUGGGCAACAUGGUGAAAUUCCAUCUCUACAAAAGAAAAAUACAAAAAUUAUCUGGGCAUGGUGGCACGUGCCUGUAUUCCCAGCUACUUGGAAGGCGAAGUGGGAGGGUUACUUGAGCCCAGGAGGUUGAGGCUAUAGCGAGGUGAGAUCACACCGAAAACUAAACCA